GUGAGUGUAGCUCAAUUGGUUAGAGCACCUGACUGUGGCUCAGGAUGCUGGGGGUUCAAGUCCCCUCACUCACC
Molecule: transfer RNA, 74 nt
Filed under: bacterium
Lineage: Bacteria
Also listed under: 1 other name
Description: tRNA-His
Rfam family: tRNA
About the family: Transfer RNA (tRNA) molecules are approximately 80 nucleotides in length.
Source: RNAcentral